Molecule: unclassified non-coding RNA, 348 nt
Filed under: soil metagenome
Description: partial contains 5.8S ribosomal RNA, internal transcribed spacer 2, and large subunit ribosomal RNA
Rfam family: 5.8S ribosomal RNA (bases 1-120)
Source: RNAcentral
GAUGAAGAACGUAGCGAAAUGCGAUAAGUAAUGUGAAUUGCAGAAUUCAGUGAAUCAUCGAAUCUUUGAACGCACAUUGCGCCCGCCAGUAUUCUGGCGGGCAUGCCUGUCUGAGCGUCAUUUCAACCCUCAUGCCCCUAGGGCGUGGUGUUGGGGAUCGGCCAAAGCCCGCGAGGGACGGCCGGCCCCUAAAUCUAGUGGCGGACCCGUCGUGGCCUCCUCUGCGAAGUAGUGAUAUUCCGCAUCGGAGAGCGAUGAGCCCCUGCCGUUAAACCCCCAACUUUCCAAGGUUGACCUCGGAUCGGGUAGGAAUACCCGCUGAACUUAAGCAUAUCAAUAAGCGGAGGA